Molecule: long non-coding RNA, 1486 nt
Filed under: Bos mutus (wild yak)
Lineage: Eukaryota; Metazoa; Chordata; Mammalia; Artiodactyla; Bovidae
Description: lncRNA (ENSBMUG00000021959.1)
Source: RNAcentral
CUAAGCAAGACCGUGGCCACCUCGCUGUUGUCUUCUGAGAACUACUGUCUUACGAAAUUUCUGAAGAGAGUCCGUGGACACUUGCCCCCAUGUGUGCUUUUCCCAUCAGAGACAAAGAACAAUCCUUUCUAAUUUUCCUCUACACAAAUUCUAUAUCUUCGAAGCAUCUGCAGAGAUAAUCAGGGACUAGUUUGUUUGUAGAAAUGUUUCUGAGGGUUCCUGAAGGCUAUAAUUUGCUUUUGUUUUUGUUUUUCGCCUCAGACUUGGAUCUCGGGAGGAAACUACAGUCAGUUCAGACAGCUUGGAAAGAGUCCCAUCUCUGGUGAAGCAAAGACUUUUCCUCUCUUGAACUGAGAAGCAUGCCGUGUAUUUCUUACCCCUGUUGUAAACCAGGUUUUCCUCUUUGCAGGGCCCUCUGGGGAUAGAUACGCAAUCAUCAGCACUUUCCACUCCUGGGCGUCUAAAUUUCCCCUCAGCACUGGUUUCCAGAACUGAGAGGCCUUUAACCAGCGAUCUGGAGGGGGAGAGGGGAGCGCUCUGAGCACAUGUGCGCGCGGGCGGGCGCCGUGAGGACACGCGGCCCGGCGCCCCCCUGCCGCGUCGAACAGACGGGGGUCUGUGGCAGCCCCGCCAAGCAGCCCUUGAUCCCGCCCGCCGGGGCCGGCGCUUGGCCUCGGGCUGAGCCCUGGAAUAGCAGGCCGCGGUCAGCAGGGCUGCUGCGGGCACAGGCCCUCCGCGACUGUGGGGGAGUAAGCCGUGCAACAACAGGUCCUUUCUCCCUGGCCCUCGCCCAGCAGGCUGCACGCUUGCAACUCCCAACUCCUCGGCAGCCCUCCCCUGCUUGAAAGGGACGCGACAGAGGAGCUGCUGUUGCUAUUGGCUCCUGCCGCCUGACAACCACAGAGGUUACUUGGAGGGCUAGCGGGAAGCCCGCGACUUGGGUUUCCUCUGGCUCAGGAACAGGGUGCCCAUCACAGUGGGCCGCUUUGGGGAGGCACACAAGGAGCAGGGAAGGCCCAGAGGAUGCCAGCCGCGCAGCCCAUUCCGGGCCUGGCCAUUAGCAGAAUGACACGCAGUUCAGCCGGAUCACCCUCGUGACUAAGUGAGCGUCUGCUAAAGAGACCCGGAAUGGGCCUCUGUCAUACGUGGAACAGGGAUUUUCCAUUCGCACUCCAAGGACCGCUGGACCUGCUUUAUGAUCCCGUGCUUUCACUGACAUUGGAAGGACACGCCUUCUGAGAACCGCACUUCACACCCAUCCACACACACCUCUGAGUUUUUAUUUCCAAAGCACCUUUUCUUCCAGGCUGCCAAAAUAAGAACUUUGCAAACAAAGCUGUUUUGAAGUAUUUAAGCACAAAAAGAUCCUAACACUGGUCCCUCUGCCUUUUCUUUUAAUAUUUUGAGCUGUUUAUAUGCCUAGAGUUUUUUGGUUUUUGUUUUCUUCCUUGAGAUUUAAAUAAAAAAGAGUUUCUGGUUUGAAUCA